CCAUAGCCCCAGAUAGAAGGGAAAAUCCUUUUGUGCCGGCGUUCGGUACAAAAGAUUGGAAUGAUAGCUGGAAAUAGC
Molecule: small RNA, 78 nt
Filed under: Flavobacterium sp. 81
Lineage: Bacteria; Pseudomonadati; Bacteroidota; Flavobacteriia; Flavobacteriales; Flavobacteriaceae
Also listed under: 1 other name
Description: Flavo-1 RNA
Rfam family: Flavo-1 RNA
Source: RNAcentral